GUAGGUGGCAAGCGUUGUCCGGAAUUAUUGGGCGUAAAGCGCGCGCAGGCGGUUCUUUAAGUCUGAUGUGAAAGCCCACGGGCUCAACCGUGGAGGGUCAUUGGAAACUGGGGAACUUGAGUACAGAAGAGGAAAGCGGAAUUCCACGUGUAGCGGUGAAAUGCGUAGAGAUGUGGAGGAACGCCAGUGGCGAAGGCGGCUUUCUGGUCUGUAACUGACGCUGAGGCGCGAAAGCGUGGGGAGCAAACAGGAUUAGAUACCCUGGUAGUCCACGCCGUAAACGAUGAGUGCUAAGUGUUAGGGGGUUUCCGCCCCUUAGUGCUGCAGCUAACGCAUUAAGCACUCCGCCUGGGGAGUACGGCCGCAAAGGCUG
Molecule: ribosomal RNA, 373 nt
Filed under: uncultured organism
Description: partial 16S ribosomal RNA
Rfam family: Bacterial small subunit ribosomal RNA
Source: RNAcentral